CACGUAGGGCGCAAGCGUUGUCCGGAAUUAUUGGGCGUAAAGAGCUCGUAGGCGGUCUGUUGCGUCCGCUGUGAAAACUCGGGGCUUAACCCCGAGCCUGCAGUGGAUACGGGCAGACUAGAGGUAGGUAGGGGAGAAUGGAAUUCCCGGUGUAGCGGUGAAAUGCGCAGAUAUCGGGAGGAACACCGAUGGCGAAGGCGGUUCUCUGGGCCUUACCUGACGCUGAGGAGCGAAAGCGUGGGGAGCGAACAGG
RNAcentral lists this ribosomal RNA (253 nucleotides) under uncultured bacterium. Its description in RNAcentral is "partial 16S ribosomal RNA". It matches the Rfam family "Bacterial small subunit ribosomal RNA", at positions 524 to 776 of the family's 1533-position model. The record is from RNAcentral.